Molecule: long non-coding RNA, 339 nt
Organism: Alligator mississippiensis (American alligator)
Lineage: Eukaryota; Metazoa; Chordata; Crocodylia; Alligatoridae
Exons: 3
Source: RefSeq, a predicted model, not a curated record
GUUUACCCAGAGGAUGAGGAGCAGCUAUGAGGGGAAGUGGAAGCUGCAUUGCAGAUCCAGCAAUAAAUUAAGGCAUAUCAAGGCAGGCUGUCAUCACUUUUAAGAACCUAUCAAGAGAGAAAGAAGUCUCUGUCAAUGUUCCUUCUUCACAUUUAGUUGAUUUUAACAAUCAGUAUGCAAUGCAAACCAUCAUCUCUGAGACCAUGACACCCAGGACAGCACCGGUCGAUGUUAUGGGAUUUUAGUACAGUUUGAUGGGUUCUGUGGCAGCUUAUUAGAUCCUUUCCCACUUUGAGGGCAACUGAUGAAGACAAUCAAAAUCAUCUGAUAUUCUUAAUA